AGAGUUUGAUCCUGGCUCAGGACGAACGCUGGCGGCGUGCCUAACACAUGCAAGUCGAGCGAUGAAAUCCCUUCGGGGAUGGAUUAGCGGCGGACGGGUGAGUAACACGUGGGUAACCUGCCUCAAAGAGGGGGAUAGCCUCCCGAAAGGGAGAUUAAUACCGCAUAACAUUAGUUUUUCGCAUGAAGAACUAAUUAAAGGAGUAAUCCACUUUGAGAUGGACCCGCGGCGCAUUAGCUAGUUGGUGAGGUAACGGCUCACCAAGGCGACGAUGCGUAGCCGACCUGAGAGGGUGAUCGGCCACAUUGGAACUGAGACACGGUCCAGACUCCUACGGGAGGCAGCAGUGGGGAAUAUUGCACAAUGGGCGAAAGCCUGAUGCAGCAACGCCGCGUGAGUGAUGAAGGCCGGUUGUAAAGCUCUGUCUUUGGGGACGAUAAUGACGGUACCCAAGGAGGAAGCCACGGCUAACUACGUGCCAGCAGCCGCGGUAAUACGUAGGUGGCAAGCGUUGUCCGGAUUUACUGGGCGUAAAGGAUGCGUAGGCGGAUAUUUAAGUGAGAUGUGAAAUUCCCGGGCUUAACUUGGGAGCUGCAUUUCAAACUGGAUAUCUAGAGUGCGGGAGAGGAGAAUGGAAUUCCUAGUGUAGCGGUGAAAUGCGUAGAGAUUAGGAAGAACACCAGUGGCGAAGGCGAUUCUCUGGACCGUAACUGACGCUGAGGCAUGAAAGCGUGGGGUAGCAAACAGGAUUAGAUACCCUGGUAGUCCACGCCGUAAACGAUGAGUACUAGGUGUAGGAGGUAUCGACUCCUUCUGUGCCGCAGUUAACACAAUAAGUACCCCGCCUGGGAAGUACGAUCGCAAGAUUAAAACUCAAAGGAAUUGACGGAAUCUAAUUGACGGAAUCGU
This 909-nucleotide ribosomal RNA is filed under the name uncultured bacterium. Its description in RNAcentral is "bacterial SSU rRNA". It matches the Rfam family "Bacterial small subunit ribosomal RNA", at positions 8 to 941 of the family's 1533-position model. The record is from RNAcentral.